AGACAAGUAUUGCUGAUAUGUUGAAGAACGCCCCAAACAAACUCGGUGGAAACAGAUACAAGAAUCUUGUGGGACCAACAAGUCUAUCUACAGGCCGAGUACAAAACCUUCCCCUCAAACUCCAAGACAAGACAGAACUGAAAGCUCUCCUUUCGAAAAAUCUAGUCCAGACGCUGUCUCAAAUGGGCGGUGCAAGCUGUGGAGACACAGUGAGACGAAUGAUGAG
Molecule: non-coding RNA, 226 nt
Organism: Procambarus clarkii (red swamp crayfish)
Lineage: Eukaryota; Metazoa; Arthropoda; Malacostraca; Decapoda; Cambaridae
Source: RefSeq, a predicted model, not a curated record